RNAcentral lists this small nuclear RNA (190 nucleotides) under Opisthocomus hoazin. RNAcentral's name for it is "7SK RNA". It matches the Rfam family "7SK RNA", at positions 1 to 195 of the family's 331-position model. From Rfam's summary of the family: 7SK was discovered as an abundant small nuclear RNA in the mid-70s but a possible function has only recently been suggested. Two independent studies have found that 7SK RNA binds the CDK9/cyclin T complex (known as elongation factor P-TEFb). P-TEFb activates transcription by phosphorylating the C-terminal domain of RNA polymerase II. Lineage: Eukaryota; Metazoa; Chordata; Aves; Opisthocomiformes; Opisthocomidae. The record is from Rfam by way of RNAcentral.
UGAAGUGAGGGCGAUCUGGCUGCGAUAUCUGUCACCCCAUUGAUUGACAGAGUUGAUUGGGCUGAUCUGGCUGGCUAGGCAGGUGUCCCCUUCCUCCCUCAUUGCUCCAUGUGCAUCCCUCCUGAAGCUGCGCGCUCAGUCAAAGAGGACGACCUUCCCCAACAGAGGCGUACCGUUGUGAAGGGCCUAG